RNAcentral lists this ribosomal RNA (467 nucleotides) under uncultured bacterium. RNAcentral describes it as "partial 16S ribosomal RNA". It matches the Rfam family "Bacterial small subunit ribosomal RNA", at positions 28 to 507 of the family's 1533-position model. The record is from RNAcentral.
GACGAACGCUGGCGGCGUGCUUAACACAUGCAAGUCGAACGGAAAGGCCCUGCUUUUGUGGGGUGCUCGAGUGGCGAACGGGUGAGUAACACGUGAGUAACCUGCCCUUGACUUUGGGAUAACUUCAGGAAACUGGGGCUAAUACCGGAUAGGAGCUCCUGCUGCAUGGUGGGGGUUGGAAAGUUUCGGCGGUUGGGGAUGGACUCGCGGCUUAUCAGCUUGUUGGUGGGGUAGUGGCUUACCAAGGCUUUGACGGGUAGCCGGCCUGAGAGGGUGACCGGCCACAUUGGGACUGAGAUACGGCCCAGACUCCUCCGGGAGGCAGCAGUGGGGAAUAUUGCACAAUGGGCGGAAGUCUGAUGCAGCAACGCCGCGUGCGGGAUGACGGCCUUCGGUUGUAAACCGCUUUCGCCUGUGACGAAGCGUGAGUGACGGUAAUGGGUAAAGAAGCACCGGCUAACUACGUG